UGAAAGGGAAACGAUUGAAGUCAGUCGUACUGACGGGUAAUCAACCUUUCUGGCGCGAUUAUUUGGGCAUGUUGGAGCCUUAACCGGUCCUCUUGUUUUUAUAUUCGUUCCUCUUGGGUGUACUUGCCCGUGUGGUAGGUUAACAUCAAUUUCAGGCGUCAUAAAAUGACGGGAGGAAUGUAGCUUUGGUCUCGUACUGAAGUGUUAUAGACUCCGGUAGAUGUGACGUCUGGGAUUGAGGAUUGCAACGGAUACCUCUCGGGGCUAUCCGCCUGGUCUCUGAUGGUCGCUUUGGUGCCGAAAGCUUGCUUAUGGUUAUCGAAGUUGGUUGUCAAAAGGUUAGAGCGGGUUAAAUUCGUUAAGGAUGUUGACGUA
Molecule: ribosomal RNA, 375 nt
Filed under: uncultured Glomeromycotina
Lineage: Eukaryota; Fungi; Glomeromycota
Description: eukaryotic LSU rRNA
Source: RNAcentral